Molecule: long non-coding RNA, 305 nt
Organism: Alnus glutinosa
Lineage: Eukaryota; Viridiplantae; Streptophyta; Magnoliopsida; Fagales; Betulaceae
Exons: 5
Source: RefSeq, a predicted model, not a curated record
UGGAAUCCAUGACAACUGGCAACAAAUGGGACACGCGAAUUUACGAGCGCAUGUGCUUGAUGUGUCUUAUAUAUGAAUCGCAAGAGGCAAUGCAAGACAUGGAAUAAUUGAACUUAAGGCCUACUGCCUUUGAUGGCUAUUUUGGCACUCAAUAAAUCAUGCAGGGAAUGGGACAAUUAAACUCAAUAGUUUCAAGUUGUGAUGAAUAUUACAGCAACAACAUAACAUGCAAUGGCUGGGACAACUGAACUCAAUUGCAUCAAUCCAUGAUGCCCAUUUACUAACUCAACAAAGGUUGCAUGAGA